UUCUUAAUGAAAUCAAGCGGUUCUUGGGUGAAAACUAUGUAACUUUUAGAGACGAACAAAACCCACCGAACAAAUUUCGAAAUUCAUCACUGUUUGGGAGAUCUUUUGGUUCGCAAAUUUGAAGGUUUUUGGUGGGCUUUUGUAAACAUCAUCAUCAGCUCAUGUAAAAAUUGAAGGUUUUUGUGGGUUUUUGCAAACAUCAUCAUCAUGAGUUCAUGUUCAUCGUCAUCAGUACAUCUUCAUGUUCAUCCCAGUUUCGCAAGUCUAUCUCCGACUGAAAAUUCUAAUCUAUUCACCACUACUAACCUCCACUAACUCUACACCACUCCUCCAACACUGUGAAUAGCACGUCGUCGUGAAACGGUGGUUGGUGGUUGUUGGUGGGUUCGAUGAAGAUGGUUGGUAGUGAUGGUGGGUGUGCGGCGAAGAAUGGUGAUCGCUGUUAAGUGGGAAAAGAUGAAGAUGGAUCUGGACCUGGAUCUAGAAAGGUUGUGGUGUUUGGAAGAUGAAAUGAUAAUGAUAAAGAAUAAAGAGUAAACAUGACUUUUCUUGCAGGUGGAUUUCAUACAAUUUGGUUUAGAAGAUUUCUGGAAAUUUGAUUUUUAUUCUUGAAUAUGGGUUG
Molecule: long non-coding RNA, 622 nt
Filed under: Helianthus annuus (common sunflower)
Lineage: Eukaryota; Viridiplantae; Streptophyta; Magnoliopsida; Asterales; Asteraceae
Description: sRNA HanXRQr2_Chr05g0217661
Source: RNAcentral